RNAcentral lists this ribosomal RNA (428 nucleotides) under uncultured bacterium. RNAcentral describes it as "partial 16S ribosomal RNA". It matches the Rfam family "Bacterial small subunit ribosomal RNA", at positions 338 to 795 of the family's 1533-position model. The record is from RNAcentral.
CCUACGGGUCGCAGCAGUGGGGAAUAUUGCACAAUGGGCGCAAGCCUGAUGCAGCCAUGCCGCGUGUAUGAAGAAGGCCUUCGGGUUGUAAAGUACUUUCAGCGGGGAGGCGUUACCCGCAGAAGAAGCACCGGCUAACUCCGUGCCAGCAGCCCGGUAAUACGGAGGGUGCAAGCGUUAAUCGGAAUUACGGGCGUAAAGCGCACGCAGGCGGUCUGUAAGUCGGAUGUGAAAUCCCCGGGCUCAACCUGGGAACUGCAUUCGAAACUGCAGGCUGGAGUCUUGUAGAGGGGGGUAGAAUUCCAGGUGUAGCGGUGAAAUGCGUAGAGAUCUGGAGGAAUACCGGUGGCGAAGGCGGCCCCCUGGACAAAACUGACGCUCAGGUGCGAAAGCGUGGGGAGCAAACAGGAUUAGAUACCCUUGUAGUC